This 231-nucleotide ribosomal RNA is filed under the name uncultured bacterium. RNAcentral describes it as "partial 16S ribosomal RNA". It matches the Rfam family "Bacterial small subunit ribosomal RNA", at positions 99 to 334 of the family's 1533-position model. The record is from RNAcentral.
CGGACGGGUGAGUAAUGUCUGGGAAACUGCCCGAUGGAGGGGGGUAACUACUGGAACGGUAGCUAAUACCGCAUAACGUCGCAAGACCAAAGAGGGGGACCUUAGGGCCUCUUGCCAUCGGAUGUGCCCAGAUGGGAUUAGCUAGUAGGUGGGGUAACGGCUCACCUAGGCGACGAUCCCUAGCUGGUCUGAGAGGAUGACCAGCCACACUGGAACUGAGACACGGUCCAG